CAAAGAUCGAUGGGGUACAAAAAAAACCAAAGAUUUAGAAUAGAAGACAUCGGCGACCAAACAAUGGAAACUCUCCGGUAAGAGGUUUUCAUCAGCAACCCAAAACUUAGGGUUCCGGCACAGUAGGUAUCACUUUUGCUAGGAAACAUAUUCUCAGGAGCUGAAUAUGGAAGUGUAGUAGCCCAGUCGUUCCCGAUGUAUCCACCUAGUCGACCAACCAUCUUCUUAUGCCAUUCGGGUCUUAGUUCGAUCAAUUGCAAAUCUUGA
This 267-nucleotide long non-coding RNA is filed under the name Helianthus annuus (common sunflower). Its description in RNAcentral is "sRNA HanXRQr2_Chr07g0301261". Lineage: Eukaryota; Viridiplantae; Streptophyta; Magnoliopsida; Asterales; Asteraceae. The record is from RNAcentral.